ACCUCCCACCCGUGUUUACUGUACCUUAGUUGCUUCGGCGGGCCCGCCAUUCAUGGCCGCCGGGGGCUCUCAGCCCCGGGCCCGCGCCCGCCGGAGACACCACGAACUCUGUCUGAUCUAGUGAAGUCUGAGUUGAUUGUAUCGCAAUCAGUUAAAACUUUCAACAAUGGAUCUCUUGGUUCCGGCAUCGAUGAAGAACGCAGCGAAAUGCGAUAACUAGUGUGAAUUGCAGAAUUCCGUGAAUCAUCGAGUCUUUGAACGCACAUUGCGCCCCCUGGUAUUCCGGGGGGCAUGCCUGUCCGAGCGUCAUUGCUGCCCAUCAAGCACGGCUUGUGUGUUGGGUCGUCGUCCCCUCUCCGGGGGGGACGGGCCCCAAAGGCAGCGGCGGCACCGCGUCCGAUCCUCGAGCGUAUGGGGCUUUGUCACCCGCUCUGUAGGCCCGGCCGGCGCUUGCCGAACGCAAAUCAAUCUUUUCCAGGUUGACCUCGGAUCAGGUAGGGAUACCCGCUGAACUUAAGCAUAU
Molecule: ribosomal RNA, 523 nt
Filed under: Aspergillus flavus
Lineage: Eukaryota; Fungi; Ascomycota; Eurotiomycetes; Eurotiales; Aspergillaceae
Description: eukaryotic LSU rRNA
Rfam family: 5.8S ribosomal RNA (bases 156-309)
Source: RNAcentral